CCUACGGGAGGCAGCAGUGGGGAAUAUUGCACAAUGGGGGAAACCCUGAUGCAGCGACGCCGCGUGAGCGAAGAAGUAUUUCGGUAUGUAAAGCUCUAUCAGCAGGGAAGAAAAUGACGGUACCUGACUAAGAAGCUCCGGCUAAAUACGUGCCAGCAGCCGCGGUAAUACGUAUGGAGCAAGCGUUAUCCGGAUUUACUGGGUGUAAAGGGAGCGUAGGCGGUAAGGCAAGUCUGAUGUGAAAGGCAAGGGCUCAACCCUGGGACUGCAUUGGAAACUGUUUAACUGGAGUGUCGGAGAGGCAAGUGGAAGUCCUAGUGUAGCGGUGAAAUGCGUAGAUAUUAGGAGGAACACCAGUGGCGAAGGCGGCUUGCUGGACGAUGACUGACGCUGAGGCUCGAAAGCGUGGGGAGCAAACAGGAUUAGAUACCCUUGUAGUC
This 440-nucleotide ribosomal RNA is filed under the name uncultured bacterium. RNAcentral describes it as "partial 16S ribosomal RNA". It matches the Rfam family "Bacterial small subunit ribosomal RNA", at positions 338 to 795 of the family's 1533-position model. The record is from RNAcentral.